Molecule: transfer RNA, 66 nt
Filed under: Tomocerus caputiviolaceus
Lineage: Eukaryota; Metazoa; Arthropoda; Collembola; Entomobryomorpha; Tomoceridae
Description: tRNA-Phe
Source: RNAcentral
AUUUAAAUAGCUUAAUUGAGAGUAUAAUAUUGAAGAUAUUAGUGUAAAGUUUAACUUUUUUAAAUA